UACGGAGGGUGCGAGCGUUAAUCGGAAUUACUGGGCGUAAAGCGCACGUAGGCGGUCAGGCAAGUCGGGUGUGAAAGCCCUGGGCUCAACCUGGGAAUUGCAUUCGAAACUAUCUGACUCGAGUAUGGGAGAGGGAAGCGGAAUUUCCGGUGUAGCGGUGAAAUGCGUAGAUAUCUGGAGGAAUACCGGUGGCGAAGGCGGCAUCCUGGACCGGCAUUGACGCUGAGGAGCGAAAGCCAGGGGAGCAAACGGG
This 253-nucleotide ribosomal RNA is filed under the name uncultured bacterium. RNAcentral's name for it is "partial 16S ribosomal RNA". It matches the Rfam family "Bacterial small subunit ribosomal RNA", at positions 524 to 776 of the family's 1533-position model. The record is from RNAcentral.